Macaca fascicularis (crab-eating macaque) is the source of this 117-nucleotide unclassified non-coding RNA. It matches the Rfam family "Metazoan signal recognition particle RNA". From Rfam's summary of the family: The signal recognition particle (SRP) is a universally conserved ribonucleoprotein. The record is from Ensembl. NCBI's taxonomy places the organism in Eukaryota, Metazoa, Chordata, Mammalia, Primates, Cercopithecidae.
GCCGGGCGCGGUGGCUCACGCCUGUAAUCCCAGCACUUUAGGAGGCCGAGGUGGGUGGAUCACCUGAGGUCAGGAGUUCGAGACCAGCCUGACCAACAUGGAGAAACCCCAUCUCUA